GUUUGGUAUUAUCGUCGCGUACUUCAUUGUCGUUGCUUAUUUUGACACAUGGCGGUUGAAGUGAAUUUCUGACGUCCUGUAUGAUCAGUCAUGGUGACUUGUAGAGUGACCGUGUCAGUGUGAGACUUUUACUGGUUUAUUUUUCACAGAUUUGAUCAUGUCGUCGGCGUGGACAGCGCGCCAAGGGGAAGUGGGUGAUCUGAGCAGCAAGAGUAAAGAUCAGCUCUUGGAGAUACUGUCAAGACAAGAAAAGUUACUGUCUAAUAAGAGAUUCAUUCAGACUCUUCCAGAUAAGGGAAAGAAGAUUGCUGACUUUGUGGAGAAAGUACACCUUGCACUUGGACAUCUGGAGGAGGAGGAGAGAAAACAAGCAAGUUUAAUCUCUGUCCGGACAGAGUUUCAGGCUAAAUAUCAGCAUGCCCUUGCCGAGCGAAGCACAGAUAAGCAUUUAGACUCCAAUGUGGACAUGAUUAUCCCAUCUCGUGACAGAAACAAAGCCAAUGUCAAUAUUAAUAUGGCUGACAUACAGGAAAAUGGUGGUCUGUUGGGCCAAGAGGAGUCUUUGACAUCCAAGCUCAAGGCUGCUGGAACACUAGAAACGGCCGGUGAGAAUGCAGCAGACUCACUGAUGAAAGACACAGAGCUUGUGGAGGCGUUUGGACAAGUAACUCUUGAUGAAAGUAACAGUGGCUCCAACCAAGACGCUAUAAAGAUUGUGUCUCCUAGUAAACCCUUUCUGGGUAAUCAGCAUCAGAAGAAACCGCAUUACAUAGAAGUUCUGGAGAAGACAGAGAAAAGUGUGAAUAUAAAGAAGUCAAGAUUUAAACCAAACCAGUUAGCUGUAAAAUCUGAGUCUUCAUCGCCUAGUCAGGCCUCUGGCAGCACCACACCACUUACUGCAGAGGCCAGAAGACAACGGGACCGAAAACACCUGGAUGACAUCACUGCUGCUAAGCUUCCACCCCUGCACCACAGUCCCGCCCAGCUGCUGCCAUUAGAGGAAUCAGCUGCCCUUCUGCAAGAGCAGACCAGAAAACACCUGGAGUUGCAGGCCAAACAAGCUGCCCAGAAGCUGGCAGAUGGUUUGAGUUUCAAGAUGGAGAGUUACAACCCCGAAGGAGGACCACUGGCAGCCUACCGAGAGGUGCAUGAUGAUGGGGCCCAGCUUUCCUCAGAGGAGGACUAAUCGUGGGGCCCUACAGGGAGGGCACUGGCUUGUUGAUAUGUUUGGCCCCUUGCCCUGGACCAGCUCUAGGCCUACAGCCCAUGCUUCAGGACCCUGGAGAGAGGCUUUCAGCCUGAGGACAAGAGAAGGGCUCUUCGUGAACUGCACUGACAAUGUCUAAGAUUCUGCCGUUGAAGAUAAACAACAGCAGGUUGAAUCAAGUUGAGAGUAAUUGUAUGAAAAUGGACCGUUUUUGCAUGUGGAAACGUUAUGUCCAACAGUAACAGAUUAUCUUGGCAAGCUAAUGGCAAAAAAAACCUGAUACCUCGGCAAGUCCGCACCUGUUGUCUUGUACGGAAUAAUAGAAUUUGAAGCUUUUAUCAGCCAUUCCUUCAAGGGUGUAGUUCUGAAGAUGGUAAUAGAAUAUUUUUGUAUGACCUUUCUUAGUGUUUAUUUAAAAAACCCUCUGAAUUGACCUUUACAGCUUGUGAUCGGUUCUUUGAGUUGGAUAACUGAAACCGCAGUUUCAUAAACUAAAGGUGGAAGCACUUAAUGUUUUGUCACUUGAGUGCAACAGCCCGGGAAAUGUCGGUCUCCCUCCCUUUUUGCAGCAUUGUUUUGAUAACCGCCCCACUGGUUUGAUUGGAAUGAGUCAGCUGUCGUUUGAAGGGAGGGAUGUUGUUAUCAGUGCAGAAAUCUGUGACAUGCCUCAGAUGAUUAAUAUAUGUAAUGUGAAAUAUCGAGGCUUGAAGGAAUUAGACCAAUUGGUGGAGUACAUCUGGAUUUUAUUUAGAUCAUGUUACUGCAUCAAAUGGCAAUGCAUUCUGGGAUGGCAACAGAUAGACAGACAUGACAUAUGGUAAAUGCCGUUUCCAACGCUAAUAAAACUUCUUAAAAUUCACUCUUUUAACUUCUCAGGGUGUAAACAACAUAUUUUCUUUACAUGUUAUUCAGGAAUCUUUAUAUUUAAAAGUAGAGAAAGGAGCUUGAAGAGAGGGAGGAAAUCCAAAUCUGCGCCGCUCUGCAGUUGAUGACCUGUGAUAACCUCUAGUAAUUGCUUCUGCCCGUUGAUGGGAACUGCUGCCUCAGAAAAAAGAUCCUAACACAUCUGGCAGAUUUCACAUGCAGCGUGGGACCUCUUCACAGACAGAUGGUGUCGCUCACAUGAACGGUGCCCUGUUCAAUAUCAGAUUCGUUCUGUGUGGAUACUCAGGCAUGGCUCUUCGGGAGAGGGAGGAACCCUGCAAAAGUGACAGGUCAUUUGACGCCCCCCGCUGAUCUCAUGUCUCAUCGUGCUUUGAUAAGCAUUGUGAAUUUCAGAGGCAGGAAGAGAGACGACACACAAAGUGACUUGCUCCGCAGGACUUAAAGGGUGGAGUGUUUUUUUUGUUUUGUUUUUUUCCCUCAGACCCUCUUCAGGAAGAGAAAUAUGUCACCACAGACGGUUCUUGAAGUACCUUUAAUGGCCAAACGUAAUCCUGGACGUUCAUUAGUUACAAGACAUUCUUUAAACAUUAAUAAUGCUUUGUUCCCUCGAGAGCAUCUUUUUCAAAAGCUCCCGCAGAGUGCCCCACUCAUAUUUUGACAGGUUUGCGUGCAGUAAAUUUCCGCAGAUAGUCAUUUCACAAGAUGAUACAGUUCCCAUUGAUGUUAUAUUCAUCAUCGGCUUAAAAUACCCCCUCUCUCGUAUUCUCUCUCUCUUCCUCCUCAUUACUUCCCAAAAAUAAUCACAAACAUGUGAUACCCAGACAGACUGUAUAAAAGCACCUCACAGCAAAGGCUCUUCUCAGUGUCAGAACUGUCUUUGCUUAUCUAGUGCUUUCAGCUCAAGCUUUGACAGCUCCAGCUUGUUCUCCCACUUACUUUCCUCCUGGUUUCUUCAGCAUAACCACUUCUAAUUCCUUACAGAAAACUGAAAACAAACUAAAGAAGCAUUUCAGGAUAAAUCGUAAGACUUAGUAAUAAGAUCAGUUCAGUGACACUCAUCUAUUAGGAAUUACAAUGAACAAUACUUUUAUAGCAUUUAAUAAUCUAGGUUAGACAUUUGCAUUUGUCUUAUUUUUGUACAUUGUAAUGAAUAUUUGUUUGUGUUCCAUUUAUUUAUAUACCCAUUUAUAACUUCUUUUGGUCAAAAGUUUACAUACACCUUGCAGAAUCUGCUAAAUGUUAAAUAUUUUACCAAAAUAAGAGGAUUUUUUUUAUUUAGUACUGACCUGAAUAAUAUACUUCAUAUAAAAGAUGUUUACGUAUAGUCCACAAGAGAAAAUAAUAGUUGUUUUUAUAAAAAUAAAAGUUUGCAUACACUUGAUUCUUAAUACUCUGUUGUUACCAGAACCAGAACUGUUGUUACUCUGUGUGGAUCAUUCUGAUAGUUGUUCAUGAGUCACUUUAAGUUAAACUGCACACUGUUCUUCAGAAAAUUUCUUCAGGUCCCACAGGUUCUUUGUUUUUUCAGAAUUUUUGUGUAUUUUAACCAUUUAUAGCAAUGACUGUAUGAUUUUUAGAUCCAUCUUUUCACACUGAGGACAACUGAGGGAUUCAUUUGCAACUAUCACAGAAGGUACAAAGGCUCACUGAUGCUCCAGAAGGAAACACAAUGCAUUAAGUGGGGGUCCCUGAGUCCCUCAGUUGUCCUCAGUGUGAAAAGAUGGAUCUCAGAAUCAUACAGUCAUUGUUGGAAAGAAUUC
Labeo rohita (rohu) is the source of this 3852-nucleotide RNA transcript. It is a transcript of the gene named RNA polymerase II subunit M, with no coding region annotated. The transcript is spliced from 5 exons. The record is from RefSeq and is a predicted model, not a curated record. NCBI's taxonomy places the organism in Eukaryota, Metazoa, Chordata, Actinopteri, Cypriniformes, Cyprinidae.